This 385-nucleotide long non-coding RNA is filed under the name Monodelphis domestica (gray short-tailed opossum). RNAcentral's name for it is "lncRNA (ENSMODG00000034434.2)". The record is from RNAcentral. Lineage: Eukaryota; Metazoa; Chordata; Mammalia; Didelphimorphia; Didelphidae.
CUGUCUCUGUCAGUACUGACCUUUCUGAUCAGAGUAAAUGGUGAGGAAACUGAGGCAAAUAAGGUGGUCACACAGCUAGCAAAUAUCUGAGGCCAGGUUUGAAUCCAGGAAGGAGACUGAAUAUCCUUUUCCAACUGAUCGUGAUAGAUCUAUGCCUUGGAUCAGCAUGCUUACUAAGUCAAAAGUUAUCGAGAAUGAAGAUGGAGGAAAAUGAGGAAAAUUUGACAUACACUCUCAGUCACCUGAAGUUUACACUGAAAGUCUCAAGGUGAUACUCCCCGGCACUGUUGGUGGACUGGGUUCAGCUUCCUGGAAACUAUGACAUAGGGUCCAGCUUUCAGAAUUCCAGUGGCUGCUCCAGCCUUUGAAUCUGUGGCCUCGGGCA